This 253-nucleotide ribosomal RNA is filed under the name uncultured bacterium. Its description in RNAcentral is "partial 16S ribosomal RNA". It matches the Rfam family "Bacterial small subunit ribosomal RNA", at positions 524 to 776 of the family's 1533-position model. The record is from RNAcentral.
UACGUAGGGUGCAAGCGUUAAUCGGAAUUACUGGGCGUAAAGCGUGCGCAGGCGGUUAUGUAAGACAGGUGUGAAAUCCCCGGGCUUAACCUGGGAACUGCAUUUGUGACUGCAUAGCUAGAGUACGGUAGAGGGGGAUGGAAUUCCGCGUGUAGCAGUGAAAUGCGUAGAUAUGCGGAGGAACACCGAUGGCAAAGGCAAUCCCCUGGACCUGUACUGACGCUCAUGCACGAAAGCGUGGGGAGCAAACAGG